GGGGGGGGGUGGGGGCGGGGGGGACGGGGGGGGGGCGGGGGGGGGGGGCGGGGCGGGGGGGGCGCGGGGGCGGGGCGCGUGGGAGCCUGCCCGUGGGCUGGUGAGCACUCGCGGAGAUGGGGGCUAGUGCCGGAUGAGGUCGGCGGACCAAAGCUUUAUCGCAUGUGGGUGGGCCCGCGUUGGAUUCGCUCGUGGGUAGGGUAAAAGCCGACCACGGCGCCGAUCCGUAGAUGGUCUGCGAGGAUGAUCAGCCACCCUGGGACUGAGAAACGGCACCGACUCCUACGGGAGGCAGCAGUGGGGAAUAUUGGACAAUGGGCGAAAGCCUGAUCCAGCAAUGCCGCGUGAGUGAUGAAGGCGUUAGGGUUGUAAAGCUCUUUUACCCGGGAUGAUAAUGACAGUACCGGGAGAAUAAGCUCCGGCUAACUCCGUG
This 433-nucleotide ribosomal RNA is filed under the name uncultured bacterium. Its description in RNAcentral is "partial 16S ribosomal RNA". The stretch from base 53 to 433 matches the Rfam family "Bacterial small subunit ribosomal RNA", at positions 39 to 507 of the family's 1533-position model. The record is from RNAcentral.